Molecule: ribosomal RNA, 287 nt
Filed under: uncultured microorganism
Description: partial 16S ribosomal RNA
Rfam family: Bacterial small subunit ribosomal RNA
Source: RNAcentral
CAAUAACCCGGGGAAACUCGGGCUAAUACCAGAUACGUCCGCCAGGAGAAAGAUUUAUCGCCUAAAGAUCGGCCCGCGUCGGAUUAGCUAGUUGGUGAGGUAAUGGCCCACCAAGGCGACGAUCCGUAGCUGGUCUGAGAGGAUGAUCACCCACACUGGGACUGACACACGGCCCAGACUCCUACGGGAGGCAGCAGUGGGGAAUAUUGGACAAUGGGCGAAAGCCUGAUCCAUUCCUGCUGCGUGAGUGAAGAAGGCCUUAGGGUUGUAAUGCUCUUUCAGCGGGG